Molecule: ribosomal RNA, 506 nt
Filed under: uncultured bacterium
Lineage: Bacteria
Description: partial 16S ribosomal RNA
Rfam family: Bacterial small subunit ribosomal RNA
Source: RNAcentral
AUUGAACGCUGGCGGCAGGCCUAACACAUGCAAGUCGAACGGUAGCACAGAGGAGCUUGCUCCUUGGGUGACGAGUGGCGGACGGGUGAGUAAUGUCUGGGAAACUGCCCGAUGGAGGGGGAUAACUACUGGAAACGGUAGCUAAUACCGCAUAACGUCUUCGGACCAAAGUGGGGGACCUUCGGGCCUCACACCAUCGGAUGUGCCCGGAUGGGAUUAGCUAGUAGGUGGGGUAAUGGUUCACCUAGGCGACGAUCCCUAGCUGGUCUGAGAGGAUGACCAGGCACACUGGAACUGAGACACGGUCCAGACUCCUACGGGAGGCAGCAGUGGGGAAUAUUGCACAAUGGGCGCAAGCCUGAUGCAGCCAUGCCGCGUGUAUGAAGAAGGCCUUCGGGUUGUAAAGUACUUUCAGCGGGGAGGAAGGCGAUGUGGUUAAUAACCGCAUUGAUUGACGUUACCCGCAGAAGAAGCACCGGCUAACUCCGUGCCAGCCGCCGCGGUAA